This 45-nucleotide non-coding RNA is filed under the name Schistosoma mattheei. Lineage: Eukaryota; Metazoa; Platyhelminthes; Trematoda; Strigeidida; Schistosomatidae. The record is from RNAcentral.
AUCCGGCUGACGAGUCCCAAAUGGGACGAAACGCGUGUCCUGGAU